UUGAGAGCAAUUGCAAGUAAAGCGAUUUGCGAUAUUUGAGAGAGCUUACACUUGAGUGUUCUAGUGAGGAUACAAUUGGGUGUAUUGGGGUUCUGAGUUUUGGAUUUUGAGAGCUUUUUUCACUUUUGUAAAUUCUCAUUUAUUAGUAAAAUUAUCUUCCAGUCUUCGCCCGUGGACGUAGGCUUUACGCCAAACCAUGUAAAAUUAUUGUGUCUUUUUUUUUGUAUUUGCUUACACCACAUUUAUAUUUCUCCAGAAGUUACAGUCACUGCAAUAUUGACAAUUGCUCAACCUCGCGCUUCCACAACAAAUAGAGUUAAAGGAUAUUUUAGUUAAAAGAGGUUCUUGGUGUCUAUUAUUAAAAAUAUAGGGUCUACAUAACCAUUUCUCUAAAAUUUGAAAGUGUAAG
This 409-nucleotide long non-coding RNA is filed under the name Citrus x clementina. RNAcentral describes it as "Citrus clementina (C. clementina) long non-coding RNA (CCLE_LNC004130)". Lineage: Eukaryota; Viridiplantae; Streptophyta; Magnoliopsida; Sapindales; Rutaceae. The record is from RNAcentral.